GGAUUGUGGUUCAGUGGUAGAGCGCUUGCCUCACAUGCGUGAGGCACUGGGUUCGAUUCUCAGCACCA
RNAcentral lists this transfer RNA (68 nucleotides) under Marmota monax (woodchuck). Its description in RNAcentral is "tRNA.Val". The stretch from base 5 to 65 matches the Rfam family "tRNA", at positions 6 to 65 of the family's 71-position model. From Rfam's summary of the family: Transfer RNA (tRNA) molecules are approximately 80 nucleotides in length. Their secondary structure includes four short double-helical elements and three loops (D, anti-codon, and T loops). Lineage: Eukaryota; Metazoa; Chordata; Mammalia; Rodentia; Sciuridae. The record is from RNAcentral.